GGAUCUGUACAUUUCAUUUGAAUAUUUGCAAUCACAUGCAAGUUGUGCCCGGGUGCUCUGUAUCUUGAAGGCAGAAAUCUUUACAGCACUAACUAAGACAUGUUAUUCACUACUCUAGAAGUAACAAAUGGAUUGAUUUAUCCAGAGACAGCUGCUCAGCCUUGUAAAGUCUCUUCUGCUCCAGUAAACAAGAGGUUAAAAACCUGGAAGCACUGAACCCAAAGAAAUUGAAGUCUAUGGUUUUCCUACUCUGAAUGGUGGGCAUGUGGCGAGAGCUGACAGACUGGAUGUAGUUGAGAAGGAAUUCUCCUGCAUGGUCAAUUUUUAUGUUAUUGUAUUUUCUGUUUACAUUUAUUUUCUUCUUCAAGCAUCAAAUGAAAGUCAUUAUAGUCAGAGAUUUCAUCACUGGGUGUGGGUUGGAGGCCAAUUGACUUUCUGAUAUGUUCUUUUUUUUCAGCAGUCAGCUAAAAUAUGCUGGUUUGAGGGGUACGUGUAAGAAAUGAUUUGAGGCCAGGCUCUCAGAAGAAAACUGAGUUCACUUGUGUUCAUCAAUGAUUUAUAGCUGCUUGAAUCAGAACUAGCUUCCCUGCAAAGCUAUACUUAGAGUUAGGCCAAUUGAGUCUGACAGGGGAGAAUCUCAAAUUAUUGAUGAAAGGACUAAGGACUACAUUUGAGAAGUUUAUUCUUUUGGUGUGGUUUCUGAUGUGCAUGCAACUGACUCACCCGGCACAUUUAGCACCCUGCAGCUUUUUCUAGUCCCAAACACAAGCAUUCUAGGUGGCUGUGUGGAGUACAACACAAAGAAUUCCCAGUUGUCUUUCCUAACACUACAGAGAAAUCUUUACAUUUGUGAUUUAAAGAAAUCAUUAAAGAAAAUUUUUGCUUCUGUAGGAUACCUUCACUGGGACUCAAGAUGUGUUCCUAGUCUUUCUACUCACAAAGAUUCCUGA
Molecule: long non-coding RNA, 950 nt
Filed under: Papio anubis (olive baboon)
Lineage: Eukaryota; Metazoa; Chordata; Mammalia; Primates; Cercopithecidae
Description: lncRNA (ENSPANG00000045215.1)
Source: RNAcentral